GGAAUAUUGGACAAUGGGCGAAAGCCUGAUCCAGCCAUGCCGCGUGAGUGAUGAAGGCCCUAGGGUUGUAAAGCUCUUUCAGCGGGGAAGAUAAUGACGGUACCCGCAGAAUAAGCCCCGGCUAACUUCGUGCCAGCAGCCGCGGUAAUACGAAGGGGGCUAGCGUUGCUCGGAAUCACUGGGCGUAAAGCGCACGUAGGCGGAUCGUUAAGUCGGGGGUGAAAGCCCGGAGCUCAACUCCGGAACUGCCUUCGAUACUGGCGAUCUUGAGUCCGGGAGAGGUGAGUGGAACUGCGAGUGUAGAGGUGUAAUUCGUAGAUAUUCGCAAGAACACCAGUGGCGAAGGCGGCUCACUGGCCCGGAACUGACGCUGAGGUGCGAAAGCGUGGGGAGCAAA
RNAcentral lists this ribosomal RNA (397 nucleotides) under uncultured bacterium. Its description in RNAcentral is "bacterial SSU rRNA". It matches the Rfam family "Bacterial small subunit ribosomal RNA", at positions 358 to 772 of the family's 1533-position model. The record is from RNAcentral.